This 512-nucleotide ribosomal RNA is filed under the name uncultured bacterium. RNAcentral describes it as "partial 16S ribosomal RNA". It matches the Rfam family "Bacterial small subunit ribosomal RNA", at positions 28 to 507 of the family's 1533-position model. The record is from RNAcentral.
GAUGAACGCUGGCGGCGUGCCUAAUACAUGCAAGUCGAACGAAACUUCUUUAUCACCGAGUGCUUGCACUCACCGAUAAAGAGUUGAGUGGCGAACGGGUGAGUAACACGUGGGCAACCUGCCCAAAAGAGGGGGAUAACACUUGGAAACAGGUGCUAAUACCGCAUAACCAUAGUUACCGCAUGGUAACUAUGUAAAAGGUGGCUAUACUACCGCUUUUGGAUGGGCCCGCGGCGCAUUAGCUAGUUGGUAGGGUAAAGGCUUACCAAGGCAAUGAUGCGUAGCCGAAUUGAGAGGUUGAUCGGCCACAUUGGGACUGAGACACGGCCCAAACUCCUACGGGAGGCAGCAGUAGGGAAUCUUCCACAAUGGGCGAAAGCCUGAUGGAGCAACGCCGCGUGGGUGAAGAAGGUCUUCGAAUCGUAAAACCCUGUUGUUAGAGAAGAAAGUGCGUGAGAGUAACUGUUCACGUUUCGACGGUAUCUAACCGGAAAGCCACGGCUAACUACGUG